CCUACGGGGGGCAGCAGUGAGGAAUAUUGGUCAAUGGACGAGAGUCUGAACCAGCCAAGUAGCGUGAAGGAUGAAUGCCCUAUGGGUUGUAAACUUCUUUUAUAUGGGAAUAAAACGUUCCACGUGUGGGAUUUUGUAUGUACCAUAUGAAUAAGGAUCGGCUAACUCCGUGCCAGCAGCCGCGGUAAUACGGAGGAUCCGAGCGUUAUCCGGAUUUAUUGGGUUUAAAGGGAGCGUAGGUGGAUUGUUAAGUCAGUUGUGAAAGUUUGCGGCUCAACCGUAAAAUUGCAGUUGAAACUGGCAGUCUUGAGUACAGUAGAGGUGAGCGGAAUUCGUGGUGUAGCGGUGAAAUGCUUAGAUAUCACGAAGAACUCCGAUUGCGAAGGCAGUUCACUGGACUGCAACUGACACUGAGGCUCGAAAGUGUGGGUAUCAAACAGGAUUAGAUACCCGAGUAGUC
RNAcentral lists this ribosomal RNA (460 nucleotides) under uncultured bacterium. RNAcentral describes it as "partial 16S ribosomal RNA". It matches the Rfam family "Bacterial small subunit ribosomal RNA", at positions 338 to 795 of the family's 1533-position model. The record is from RNAcentral.